CCAAAGGCGAUGACGGGGAGAGUAUUCUGCCAUAAUCGACGGCACAGAGAGCUGCGGACAGGUGAAAGCGCAGCGCGGCGAUUGCAGAGGAAGAACACCCCGGAGCCUCCGACCGAACGCAAUACGAAGCAUGCUUCGUAUCAGUAGGCUCGGACGCGUACCGCGCGUUACAGCGGUGCUUCGAUGAAGUCGAAGCAAAACGAGUGGACUUUUCAGUCUAUUUGGGUGGUACCGCGGAAGUCAGAGCCUUUCGUCCCAUAG
Molecule: non-coding RNA, 261 nt
Filed under: Clostridium sp.
Lineage: Bacteria; Bacillati; Bacillota; Clostridia; Eubacteriales; Clostridiaceae
Description: T-box sequence
Rfam family: T-box leader
About the family: Uncharged tRNA acts as the effector for transcription antitermination of genes in the T-box leader family. T-boxes are found upstream of many aminoacyl-tRNA synthetase genes and some amino acid biosynthetic genes usually in Gram-positive bacteria. The anticodon of a specific tRNA base pairs to a specifier sequence within the T-box motif, and the NCCA acceptor tail of the tRNA base pairs to a conserved bulge in the T-box antiterminator hairpin.
Source: RNAcentral